GACGAACGCUGGCGGCGUGCCUAAUACAUGCAAGUUGAGCGCUGAAGGUUGGUACUUAUCCCAACUGGAUGAGCAGCGAACGGGUGAGUAACGCGUGGGGAAUCUGCCUUUGAGCGGGGGACAACAUUUGGAAACGAAUGCUAAUACCGCAUAAAAACUUUAAACACAAGUUUUAAGUUUGAAAGAUGCAAUUGCAUCACUCAAAGAUGAUCCCGCGUUGUAUUAGCUAGUUGGUGAGGUAAAGGCUCACCAAGGCGAUGAUACAUAGCCGACCUGAGAGGGUGAUCGGCCACAUUGGGACUGAGACACGGCCCAAACUCCUACGGGAGGCAGCAGUAGGGAAUCUUCGGCAAUGGAAGAAAGUCUGACCGAGCAACGCCGCGUGAGUGAAGAAGGUUUUCGGAUCGUAAAACUCUGUUGGUAGAGAAGAACGUUGGUGAGAGUGGAAAGCUCAUCAAGUGACGGUAACUACCCAGAAAGGGACGGCUAACUACGUG
This 497-nucleotide ribosomal RNA is filed under the name uncultured bacterium. RNAcentral's name for it is "partial 16S ribosomal RNA". It matches the Rfam family "Bacterial small subunit ribosomal RNA", at positions 28 to 507 of the family's 1533-position model. The record is from RNAcentral.